Molecule: long non-coding RNA, 1003 nt
Filed under: Urocitellus parryii (Arctic ground squirrel)
Lineage: Eukaryota; Metazoa; Chordata; Mammalia; Rodentia; Sciuridae
Description: lncRNA (ENSUPAG00010001234.1)
Source: RNAcentral
UGUGUAUCGUGGAGCUCUAGACCAGGCACUAGGACAGUACUCGUGGCCGACAGUGGCAGUGGCUUUCCCCCAGGGCAGGUCGCGCGCACGGGCGCCCAGCAGCCUCUUCCCGGACACCACCGGCCCCGCGGAGCAAGGGGAGCGGUACCCUUUGGGCUGUGGUGGAGCGGAUCGGGCGAGCGGGAGUGGGAGGACAGCGCACUAUGCCGGAGAUGUAAGGGGGUCGCGCGAGGUGCCUGGCAAAGUUGGGGGGCGCUCACGGUGCCUGGGGAGGCAUGGAAUGGGCGGGGGCACAGUGCCCAGAGCCACUGCCCAGCUCGGAUCUCGCCCUCUUCCUUCCCUGUGGAAACAACUUCCUGCUUCCCUGACUCAGGGCGCAGAAACUGCGGGGAGAAGUUCAAGGCCGCAGCUUUGCUCUCAGCCCGACGGCGACACUGCUGGCUCCAGGCCACACGGUUCUUUCCUGGGCUCCUUCAGGGGAAGGGGAACGCCUGGGCUCCAUGGCCUGGACACUGGUUAGGAUGUCAAGGGGUCUGCAGCGUCUUUCCCCGCCGGCUUUGCAGGGGCGUCCAAGUCUGCAAACUGCAGAGGCGCAGGCCUGGGACUCUGGCCCUGGGGAACACCCGUCAGCACACGGUCGCUACACUCAGACCCCUUCCCCCUGCCUGGGUAUGCUCUGGCUCAGAGCCACGCAGACCUAGCUCUUCCUGAACGCCAGCGAUGGCCCCGUUGAUGGCCAGGGCCCGAGAGAAACAUGGCCUCGGGGCCCCAUCCCACUCUCUGUGCCUGUCUCCCCCCUACUACCCCCCCCUCUGGCCUUGGCAUUCUAACCAGUGUCCCUUGACGUCACAUCUCGCCAUUUCUGUCAACCAAUUGAAACUUGCCCGUUGUCAUAAAAAUAUAUAUUUUUAUGCCAUUGGUAAAUUCAAAAGUUCCUCGCAUGCCCAGCUGCCCAGGAAACUCCACUCCACGUUGGAUUGGAUUGCCCAGGAGGGGAAAACUG